UGCCUCCGGGCGCCCAACCUCCCACCCGUGACUACCUAACACUGUUGCUUCGGCGGGGAGCCCUCUCGGGGGCGAGCCGCCGGGGACUACUGAACUUCAUGCCUGAGAGUGAUGCAGUCUGAGUCUGAAUAUAAAAUCAGUCAAAACUUUCAACAAUGGAUCUCUUGGUUCCGGCAUCGAUGAAGAACGCAGCGAACUGCGAUAAGUAAUGUGAAUUGCAGAAUUCAGUGAAUCAUCGAGUCUUUGAACGCACAUUGCGCCCCCUGGCAUUCCGGGGGGCAUGCCUGUCCGAGCGUCAUUGCUGCCCAUCAAGCCCGGCUUGUGUGUUGGGUCGUCGUCCCCCCCGGGGGACGGGCCCGAAAGGCAGCGGCGGCACCGUGUCCGGUCCUCGAGCGUAUGGGGCUUUGUCACCCGCUCGAUUAGGGCCGGCCGGGCGCCAGCCGACGUCUCCAACCAUUUUCUUCAGGUUGACCUCGGAUCAGGUAGGGAUACCCGCUGAACUUAAGCAUAUCAAUAA
This 517-nucleotide ribosomal RNA is filed under the name Aspergillus sp. 6-15m. Its description in RNAcentral is "eukaryotic LSU rRNA". The stretch from base 145 to 298 matches the Rfam family "5.8S ribosomal RNA". The record is from RNAcentral. Lineage: Eukaryota; Fungi; Ascomycota; Eurotiomycetes; Eurotiales; Aspergillaceae.